RNAcentral lists this ribosomal RNA (425 nucleotides) under uncultured bacterium. RNAcentral describes it as "bacterial SSU rRNA". It matches the Rfam family "Bacterial small subunit ribosomal RNA", at positions 359 to 776 of the family's 1533-position model. The record is from RNAcentral.
GAAUCUUAGACAAUGGGGGAAACCCUGAUCCAGCCAUGCCGCGUGUGUGAAGAAGGUCUUCGGAUUGUAAAGCACUUUAAGUUGGGAGGAAGGGCAUUAACCUAAUACGUUAGUGUUUUGACGUUACCGACAGAAUAAGCACCGGCUAACUUCGUGCCAGCAGCCGCGGUAAUACGAAGGGUGCAAGCGUUGAUCGGAAUUACUGGGCGUAAAGCGCGCGUAGGUGGUUUGUUAAGUUGAAUGUGAAAGCCCCGGGCUCAACCUGGGAACUGCAUCCAAAACUGGCAAGCUAGAGUAUGGCAGAGGGUGGUGGAAUUUCCUGUGUAGCGGUGAAAUGCGUAGAUAUAGGAAGGAACACCAGUGGCGAAGGCGACCACCUGGGCUAAUACUGACACUGAGGUGCGAAAGCGUGGGGAGCAAACAGG